UCUACGGGUGGCAGCAGUGGGGAAUAUUGCACAAUGGGCGAAAGCCUGAUGCAGCAACGCCGCGUGAGCGAUGAAGGCCUUCGGGUCGUAAAGCUCUGUCCUCAAGGAAGAUAAUGACGGUACUUGAGGAGGAAGCCCCGGCUAACUACGUGCCAGCAGCCGCGGUAAUACGUAGGGGGCUAGCGUUAUCCGGAUUUACUGUGCGUAAAGGGUGCGUAGGUGGUUUGUUAAGUCGGGGGUGAAAGGCUACGGCUAAACCGUAGUAAGCCUUUGAAACUGGGUAAGUUGAGUGCAGGAGAGGAGAGUGGAAGUCCUGGUGUAGCGGUGAAAUGCGUAGAUAUUAGGAGGAACACCAGUGGCGAAGGCGGCUCUCUGGACUGUAACUGACACUGAGGCACGAAAGCGUGGGGAGCAAACAGGAUUAGAUACCCGAGUAGUC
This 439-nucleotide ribosomal RNA is filed under the name uncultured bacterium. Its description in RNAcentral is "partial 16S ribosomal RNA". It matches the Rfam family "Bacterial small subunit ribosomal RNA", at positions 338 to 795 of the family's 1533-position model. The record is from RNAcentral.